Molecule: transfer RNA, 72 nt
Filed under: Bacteriophage sp.
Description: tRNA-Trp
Rfam family: tRNA
About the family: Transfer RNA (tRNA) molecules are approximately 80 nucleotides in length.
Source: RNAcentral
UGGCGUAUAGUUUAAUGGUAAAACAGCAGUCUCCAAAACUGUUAGAUGUGAGUUCAAAUCUUGCUACGCCAG